RNAcentral lists this non-coding RNA (657 nucleotides) under Daucus carota subsp. sativus. Its description in RNAcentral is "Bacterial small subunit ribosomal RNA". It matches the Rfam family "Bacterial small subunit ribosomal RNA", at positions 124 to 873 of the family's 1533-position model. Lineage: Eukaryota; Viridiplantae; Streptophyta; Magnoliopsida; Apiales; Apiaceae. The record is from Rfam by way of RNAcentral.
AUUUUUGUGAAUUAAAUAAUAAACUUAAAUUGGAUUCAAAUAUGUUAGAUGUGACAGUCGGGCAAAUAAUGCAUAAGAAUGGAACAAUAAUUGGAAAUGACCGUCAAUAAUCCCCCGUAGUCGGAGGGAUUCACGUCUGAUUAGCUAGUUUGAGCUAGUUUGUAAGGUAAUAGAUUCCUAACGUGAUGAUCAGUAGCUCCGAAUGGAUAAUCAACUAUGCUGGGACUGAGACACGAUCCAAAUUUCUAUGGGGCAACAGUGAGGAAAUUUCUAUAAUGGGCGAAAAAGAAGCAACAACAUUAUUUGGGAAAUAAGCAUCGGCUAACGCUAUGCCAGCAGUCGCCGUAAUAUUGAGGAUGAAAGUGUUAUCGAGAAUUACUAGAUGUAAAGCAUUUUUGGAUGGUUUUUUAAGUCCGUCAUCAAGUCUCGAGGCUCAACCCUGGACUGGUAUAGGGAAUUUCCGCUUGAUCGGUGAAAUGCGUUGUGAUCGGAAAAUAUAGCGAAAACACUUGCUUGGUUGACACUAACACUGAGAGGUGAAAGCUAGGGUAGUGAAUGGGUUAGAUACCAUAGUAAUCCUAGCCGUAAGCGAUGGAUACAAGACUCUAUGCAUAUCAACCUAUGCGCUGUUGUAGUUAACGGAUUAAGUAUCCCGCU